Molecule: non-coding RNA, 10795 nt
Organism: Manis javanica (Malayan pangolin)
Lineage: Eukaryota; Metazoa; Chordata; Mammalia; Pholidota; Manidae
Source: RefSeq, a predicted model, not a curated record
AUCAGGCCCCCGACCACACGCUGCUUUAAAUAACCCUGGCGCGCAGGUGCUGUUCUCUUUGUGCGGUGAAGUUGCGGUAGGCUGUGGUGUCUUGUAGUGUGUCUGGCGACUGCUGCCGCAAAACCUUCCUCUACCCAGAGGAAAAGGCCCUGCGUCAGCUUUGCACAGCUGCAUGCAUACAGGUACCUCGGGGCCCUGCUGGGUGAGGAGACCUCAGUCUCGGGCUGAGCAGGAUGAACUACCACUACAGACUAGAGUUUCUGAUGUGUCUGUGACGCCACUGCUUGGAACUGACCCAGCCCGGGACCGGCGGGGCUCCGCUGGAGUCGCCCCGGCUUCUCCCGAAUAACUGGUUUUUUCCCAGGUCCCUGUUCUCCGCAGACAGGUCCACAGCACCACGAGGGGUUUAAAGACGUCCACUGGUGUGUUACCUUGGAUAAAGCAUGAGAGCUCGGAAAGCCCAGCCAGGGGCAGUGCCCCUUCAGAGAUGGGGCUCUAACCUGGCAACUGAAGGGCUAAAGGUUUGUGUUUGUCCUUGGAGAAUUGCUGCUGAGAUGGCUGAAUUGCCUAGGUGAUGGUUCCCGCCACAUCUACUGGCUCUGACAAAAGUGAAGAGCCACGCCCCUUCUCCCUGGCUUACUAUAGAUUUUCCUGACACAAAGGAUGUACUCUGAUGAGCAGAUCUAGGAGUCUUAAGUCUUUCGUGCAUUAACCUGUGUGCGCAACGUCAAUUUCCUGGGGGAAAAACUGCCUAGAACCACAAGACUUGAUUUUGUCAAAAGGAUUCCAAUGAAAUAUCUUAUAAAGCAAGUAAAAAUACAGAUUGGUCUGGGUGAAAACAAGAUUGUACAAAAGGUUUAGAGACGUGAAAAGUAACAUUGUCAUAGUGGAUAGCUGUGCCUCUUUAAGUUUCUAUGACGUAAACCUGAACAGUAACAGGAAUCUAAUUUGUCUUUUGAUGGAUCAGUGAAAACGUCAUCCAGAUAAAUUUUUUUAAUGUGAUACUGGUAGUUGCUAGGGAAUAGGGAGUUGAGGGGUAUAAAAUUUCAGUUUUACAUGAUGAAAAGUAAGUGGUGGUAACGAUUGUCCAGUAUUCAUGUAUUUACCCACUGAACUGUAUUAAAAAUGGUGAAGUUUUAUGUGUAUUUCACAACAAAAAAGAUAAGGAUGGGGGUGGCAUAUCCAUACUCUUUUUUUUUUUUUUUUUGGUCACUGUCCCAAAGGUGGUUCCCCACCAGCAUGUACAGAUUUAUGCUGCUAUAAGACUACUAUAAAUUUCCCAGUUUCUGGUAGGAGCCAUUUAGGUUUCUGUGUACCAUUGUUGAUACUUAGACCCAUUUGACGUGUUAUAGAUACAUUUCCAGAAAAAAUUUCAAGAAUCAAAGGAGUUUGGCAUUUAAAACUUGAUGCAUAGUGCUUUCAUAACGUUGUACCAGUGUCUACUCAGUGUCAGUGUCAGUCUGAAGAUACCUGUUUUUCCAGUACCUGCCAUCACUGCUCCAGGUGGUAAUACUUAGAGCAGAAUUUUGUGUACCUGUUCACUUAAAUGCAUUUCUUCAUCUAUUUUCCUACUGAACAUUUCCAGCUUGGUCCCCACCACUUGAACUCAUCAGCAAAUAUUUUUUUUCAGUGUUAAUUUUCCUUAAUCACCUUUGCUAUUUAUCCCCCCUUGAAAUUACCUUUUGUAGUAUUCCUAGAAGAUAGGGUCACCUGUUUGCAUUGCUGUUCUCCGAUUUAGGAUUUGAGUCCUUGGCCCAAAACUUGAGGAUUAGCUCUGUUUAAAAGGAACUUGUUCUCUAAACUUGGAUUAAAAUAGACAAUAUUUUGUAUUAGAACUCUUAAAAUUCUACAGUUGGACUUCUGUUUAUUCUUAUAACAAAAACCAAACUAAUCUGUUACCAGUUCAAGUUAACUUUUGCAAAGGGAAUUGGGACUGGGCUGGAAUGGGGGUAGGAGGAGACUUGGGCUUUUUCCUCCUUGGAUUUCUGAAUUGUUGCCACUAAGAGUGUACUGUUUUAUGAUUGAAGGUCCCAUGCACAUAAUUAUUUUUGGUUUUUGGACAUACAUUUAUUUGCCCCACUUUACAGGCAAGGAGAGGAAGGUUCAAGGAGGUUAAGUAAUUUAAGGUCAGAGAUACGGAGUAUCCGGAUUCAAAUUACUGUCUCCAGUGUUCCCCACUUUAGAACGUUACCAGUAACUGAAGCAAACCUUGCUUUUGAUUCAGUUUCCUUCUCCAUCCCACUCAGAGGAAACCACUUAGCUGGACUGUGGCUGUUAAACGCCCUGGCUUUUCUUUAUAGUUUUACUCUGCAUCCCUGAACAAUAUAUUUAGUAUCUUUUUGAACUUGAUAAAUGCUGAUUAAUUCAUGUAAUUCUGCAACUUUUUUUUCAUGUAUUUUCCUGUAAAUUUAGAUUCCACCCUUCCAUACACAUUUCUGUCCAUUUUUAUCUUGAAAAAAACACCUUAAAACCUGUGUAUUUUUUAAGGUUGAUGGCUAUCCCUGUGUAGUAGGCUUCUGUUUGUAAGUGCAUUUUUCUAGGGUGACACGGAACUGGUGGAGUUUCUGGGGCCAGAUUAUGCAGUUAAUAGCUAACUUGGGGUAAGUUACUUAGCCACUUUAACAAUUUUCUCAUUUGUAAAUGUGUAAGAGUACAUAUGCUUAUGAGUUAACAAAUACAUGUAAAUGUAUGUAAAACUGCUUAGCACUUAGUAAGGCCUAUUUAGGUAAUAGCUACAACUGUGUUAUUCCAAAUAGCUUAGUCAUUAACUUGGUCUAGUCAGCACCUCACCCAUCCUUCCAAAUCCCUGACAUGGCUGUUAGAUGACCAACUUCACCUUGACCCUAGGGUCUCAUCUGUAUUCUUUUACCCUUAUUUGUAUUGUCCAAGUCCUCCCUUGGUUGGAGACCCUUCUUCUUAUGCCAGCCCCAAGUUCAGUGUAUAAGACUGAGCUACAAUUAUGGUGCAGAUGUUACAUGAACUUUUUUCUUGGCAUGGAAAUAACUUUCCAGUCUUCUGUCAGUCUUUCCUCCUAACUAGUUGACUUGGAGCGUAGACAGGCCUGUAUCUCAGCUACUGAAGACAGCUCCCAGGCCUUAACCCUGGAAUAGCAACCAGCCCAAUGUGUUAGCUCCUCCAGAUAACCCCUCCACCUUGCCAGUUGCUCAUGCUAGAGCCCUUUUGAGUCUUUUAGACUCGUGUUGUCACACACUAUCCAAUCAGUCAACAAAUGCUGUCAAUACCUUAGAAAUAAAAGUGCCUGUCAUCUCACACCAUUGCUACUGCACUCAGGUGGAGACCACUAGCCCACCUAGACAGCCUGCUUACAUGACUGCAACAGCCUCCCAGCAGUUCUGGCUUCCACCCUUAAACCAUUCUAAUCCAACAGCCAGAAGCUUCCUCAUGAUUUGGGUCUUGUCUCCCUCCCCUGCUUGAGUCAUGCAGUGGCUUCCAUUUCACUGUGCAAAAGCUGAAGUCUUUACAAGGACUGUCCAAUGAGUUCCCCUCAGCUCUGUUAUCUCUGGCCUCAUCUGCUCACCUCACUGCUGCAGCCAUAUGGCAUAAGCUAAGAACCAGUGGGUGCUCUUCUGUCAAUAGUUAGGCAGUGAAGUUCUUGCCUGUCGGCUGGGGUCACAGCCAUUGGCCUUGGUCUGUGGAGUAGACCUGACCUUGUGCCUACAGAAUCUGGAUGAAAUUUGGGUGAUAAAAUCCUCGAGCCAAGAGCUAAACUUAAUGACUGGGACAUUGCUUGUGGGAAUGGAACAUUACGUGAUCCCUUUGGAGAAGGGAUUGAUAAUACCUACUAGUGGGCAUAUUGUCUUCAGCCCAGUACUUCAACUCAUAAUAACACAGUGAACGAACAUGUAUAUAAGGAUUAAUGUACACAAAAGUCCUUGGUGAUAUUUUUGUAAUGGGAAAAGAAAACCCAAAUGUCCAACAGGAAAAUGGGUAAAUUAUGGUAUAUUAAAACAGUACCAUGGAGUGGUGUGUGUGAUUGUGCAACACUGGUAUGACUGACAUACCAGUGCAGAUUAACAAUGAAGGCAAGUCAGAAGAAUACAUAUAUGGUAUGCAAUGUUUGAAAACAUUUAUAGCCAAAUAAUGCGUAUUUCAGAGUUUAAUAUAGUAAAAGCGGAAAUGUACAGGAUUGCUAAUUGCUACAUUCAAGACAGUUCCCUGGGCUAUUAUAAGGAGGUGGGUAGGGAGAGUGAUGCAGUCAGAGGUGGACACGGGGGAUCCAUAAGUGCCUUGUAUUUUUCAUAUUUUUGUACAUCUGAACUAUUAACAUGGUUUGGAACCUGUGAAUCCCCAAAGCAAAAGCUAAGUCAUCCUACAGGGACACCUGUAGACUCAAGCUCACAUGGAGCACUCUUGGGAGAGCCAAGAUGAGCUGGAAUCAAAAACAGGGCCAGACACUCCCAUGGGAACAAGUCCACAGGUAUAACAGGUGACUACAGCUUAGAAACUCAGGUAACAGCAUGCUAGAGUUUGAAGAUGUGUCUAGGGAGGAAAGAAUUUGAUGCACUGGGCAUGACAGCAUCAAAAAAGAUUAGGUGGAUUUAGAACAACAUGAAAUACAGAAAUUCAAGAAGUACAAUAAACGGGCCAAAUAAACCCAACUGAAUAGAGAAUUAGUGAAUUACGGGAAGAAAUAUGUGGAGCAGUGAAAAUGCAGUACUAUGAGAAGGAUAACAUCAAGGAUGAAAGCAGAUGUUCCAACCUCUGGCAGUGUUGUUGCUGUCCUUGCCUUCCUGGGUCAUCACUGCUGCUGCACUGGCAAGUGGGGUCACCCAGCUUUGAGCAGCUCAAAGCCAUCUGUUAGUCUGGUUAUUGUAGUACUUCAUCUAUUAACAUCCUACUUUACCAUGAUUAUCUUUUGAUUGUUGUAUUAUCUCCCAAAGAGUGAAGGAACAGAUUAUCCUAAGGGUUAAAGUAUUUGCUGACUCUUAAAAUUGUUCAUUGUUAUUGUCUCCAGACAGGUGAACCUCAGGUAGAAGUGUGUCACAUUCUAGGCAGGCCUUUGCCUGUCCUUAAACCUUUAAAUUCCAAAGAAUGUAAUGAAGACAGAUGUCAGCCAGUAAUCCCCAGUUAAAAGCCAAUACUAGGUAGUGAACUGCCUUGGGGAGCUGUCCCUAACGGCCUGGCAACAACGGAAGUUACUCCCACAUCAAGAGGCCUGCCAUUUCCUAGCAGCACACAAGAAUUGGCUGUGCUUCACCAUGGGUUGGUUUCUAAAGGAGGUUGAGCAACUCUUGAAAAAUGACUUCAAGCUUAUUAUGAAACAAAACGGAAAAUAGUAUAAAGAGCACCCAUAUCCCCACCACUUAAAUCCAAAAACUGUCAACAUUUUUCCGGAUUUGAAAAUAUGACAAAAUGUAAGUUAUAUGUGUGUGUAUAUAUAACAUUUGGCAGGCUCAUUUCAAAGUGAAUUACAGAGAACAUUUUAUCACGAAGUCAACAUGCAUGUCUACAAUAUGAGGACAUUAACCUACUUACCACAAUACUAUUAGCAUACCAUGAAUAGGAAUUCUUGAUAUUAAUGCUUAAUUUUAUUUAAAAAAUUUAAACUUCCUAAACUUUUAUGGUGCUUGUUUUAUUUUAUUUUGGUAUCAUUAAUCUACAAUUACAUGAAUAUUAUGUUUACUAGGCUUUCCCCUUCACCAAGUCCCCCUCACAAACCCCAUUACAGUCUCUGUCCAUCAGCGUAGUAAGAUGCUGUAGAAUCACUAUUUGUCUUCUCUGUUGUUCGGCCCUCCCCGUGCACCACCCCUCUACACAUUAUACCUGCUAAUUGUAAUACCCCCUUUCUUUUUCACCGUGGUGCUUGUUUUUUAAAAAGAGCCGGUAUCCAAUUGAGGAUCAAGCCCUUCAUUUUACUAUUACAUCCUAUUGGUCUUUUGAUUCUAGGACAACCUCCUUGUUUUUGUGAUACUGCCCUUUAUUUAUUGAUACAAUCUUAUAUUAGUUUCAGGUAUACAACACAGUGGUUCAACAGCUACCCAUAUUAUUAAAUCCUCACCCCCACUGGUACAGUUACUGUCAACAUAGGAAGAUGUUACAGAAUCAUUGGCUAUAUUCUCUAUGCUGUGCUACUACUCCUGUGACAGUUACAUUAUUGAGAAUUUUUGUGCCCCUUUAUCCCCCUCCCCCUCUCCACCCCAACCUCUCCCCCAUAUGAUACUGCUCUUCUGAAGAGACUAGGCCAGUUGCAGAAUGUUCCAUAUGUUGGCUUCGUCAAACUCAUGUUUUUAACUUUUUCCUCAGUCUUCAGCAUUUUUUAUUUGAAGUAUAGUUUAUAUAUAUUGGUUUCAAGUAUACAGCAGAGUGAUUAAACAGUUACACACAUUAUUCAGUUUUUACCCUAACUAGUGCAGUUCCUAUCUGUCAACAGAAAAAAACUGGAGUUAUACCUACAGGCCUAAUUAGAUUCUGGUUACAUAGUUUGGGCAAGACUAUUUCAUGAAUGACACUGUAUUACUUACCUGUGGCUAUUGUAAAAAAUUGCUACAAACUUGGUGUUUUAAAACAACAGAUGUUUGUCACGUGGCAAUUCCUGAUGCCGGAAGUGGAGAAGUUUCACUGGGCCAAAAAGCCCCUGUAGCUGUACUAGGAGAGAAUCCAUUCCUUGUCCCUUCCAGCUUCUGGUGGCAUCUGGCAUUGCUGACAUGUGGUCACCUUGCUCCAUCCUCUGCUGUUGAGUCAUGUUACCUCCUCUUCACUGUGUAUGCCAAUCUUCUAUCCCCCUUUUAUAAGGCCAUAUGUGAUUGCAUUUAGGGCCCACCUGGAUAACCCAGGAGAAUCUCCCCAUCUCAAAAGCCUUAAUUUAAUCUCUUCUUCAAAGACCUCCUUUUUCCCUACAUAAGGUAACAUUCAGGUGCCAAGGAUUAGGAUAUGGCUAUCUUUUAGGAAAUCAUUUUCAGUCUACCAAGUGCUAUGUAUGUCACAGGGCCUCAUGUCAGGGGGAUCAUAAUGUCUACUUGUCCUAUUUAAUUUCAGUUUGAGCACUUGGUUAAAGUGUUAAACCCCUGCCUCCUCCCAGAUCUCUAUUGUAGAGAUACUUUCCCUACAUGUGAAUGAAUAUCCAGUUCAUCAACCUUUAACCUAAUAAUUUAGCAUCCAUUGAUGAUCUUUGUGUAGGAGUAGAAAAAGUUUUCCUUAACCCUCUUAGGUCCCUGGCUAGGUCUGAAAAUUAACCCGACAGACAGAUGAACAGCAGAAAAGCAUACACAUUUAAGUUUUAUGGGACACAAGAACUAUUAUAAGGAAAUGAUGCAAAGAAAUACUGAAUGUUUUAUGUUCAGUUGAACAGAGGCAAUUGCAGAAGAGUGACUAAGCUAUAUGGGGAGGCUAAAGAAAAUCACAACUAUUUUAACAAAGUCUGUUUAUGUAUAGAGUUUUCUUUGUCUCAACUUAUCUUCCUUGAAAAUAGCAGUAUCUUCCUUUCUCCUGGUACAGGGAGGACACCUUUCACCCUAGGCUUUGUCUCCUGCUUUCAGGAAGAAAAAGGAGGGUCAAAGUGAGCUCCUUUCACUGGCUGUUUCUCAAGUGCUUUAACUCAAAAUAACAUUCCAGAGAAGUAUGUUUUGGUGUGACAUGUUAUGAACUCCUUCACUUGAGUUAUUUCAAGUUUGCAAAGUGAUGACUUUCCAAUUUGGUUAUUCCUUCUACAGUUAUUUGCUGACAUUCUUCUGUAAAGUAUAACUCAUCAACUGGUACUUUACCUAACCUGAAUCACUUGUUCUACAGCAAAGGUAGGAUUAAUGAUUCAUUUACAGUAUUGUGUGCAUAAGGAGUCAGUGUAAAAGUCCCCUCCAAUGGUGGCAAGUGAAUUUUGCUGCCAUAGAAAAUGAAAAAAACCCUCUUGUAUACAUAGGUCCAGGAAAUGUCCCUGUGGUCCCUUUGACCUUAUCAAAUGCCUUGCUGAGAACCAGACUUGCUGAGACACUGGCCUUCCUCUGAUCUCUGCUUUUAGAACUGUGGCCAAGGAGCUGCCUCUGCAGUUGGCGUGACAUCCUAGUGACCCCAUGUUAGUUCCUGGGUGUUGCUCUCUACCAGACUCCCACCUCCAACAGCAAGGGCAUUUCAACACCUCCAGGGAAUAAAAAUAGCAGAACCAAACUUGAUGGAGGUUGAACAACACAAGUCCUUUAAAUUUAGCAAAAUUAGUGGGGCUUAAGAUACUGAAGCACAGAGCUGAUUCAGUGUCUUUACCCCUCCCUCCAACCUCACCCUCUCUUGGUGCAGGCUGAGAUCAUUCAUUCUGGGCACCACCUUUCUUGUGGCUCUAUUGUUGCCUAGUUACCCAGAAGUCUCCACUUAUUAUUUUUUCCACCUGUUUUGUUUGUUGUGAAGUAUAUAAUAUAUACAGAAUCUAUAUUCAAAAAAAAUAUAAUAUGUACAGAAAGCUUAAAAUCUGGUACUGCUGAACCUGUGGCUUACAGAUUUGGAGGCUACAAGAAAUGUGACUUCUGGCCCUAACCCCACAGGAGUGUAAACUUUGGUUAAGAAUUUUCCAGGUACUUUUCUUUUUCAUCUUUUUUCUUCUUUGCUCCAUCCAGAACAAAGAUGGAGGUCUGUUCACUCACUGGAAAUGUAGCCUUUUGUACUUUAUUUACAAAGAGAGGCAGCCAGCCUGUGAGCUGUAGUUUGCCAAUUUGAUGUUUUAAAAUAGUUCAGUAUUAAAUAUUUAGUAAAUAUUAAAUAUUAAAAUAUUUUUUACCUUGAUUUAAAUCAAGGUAAACACUCUGAUUUAACACUCUGAUUUAACAUCCAGGGCUUCUCAGGCCCAAGUAUUGCAUCCAAAAUAUUAGGAAAGGGAAGACCUAUCCUUUCAUUGUGGUAACUUGAGUGUUUUUAAGUUUGUUUUUCUUUUGUCAAAAAGAAGUGUAAGAUCUUGUCUUACAUGUUUCUUCCUAAUCCUUUUUUGAGCAAGACUGAAAUCCUGCUCCUUCCUGGUAAUGACUUCUGGUUGUGGGGACUGAAUUGUGAAAAGCGUACCUGGUCCCUGGUCCCUGGUAUUUGCUGCUCAGAAUUUGUGGUUGUGAUCUCUUUGCACUGUUUGAAGGCUGCCUAUAUUACAGGGAGAGAGGGCUCACACCAGGUUCAGUCUGAGCCAGGGGGCUGGGGGAGAAGAGUGUGAGGGGAGAAGGCCCUGAGCUAAGAUCUGGUACUGCUGCGGCUCCAGGCUAGAUAGAAUUUGGCUGCUAGUCCUGGCGGCACUCACCAGGCUCUAGUCUUCAAAGUCCCCUGUCCCCUUUAUACAAAUAAGCACUAUUCUUUCCCCUUUCAGUCCCCUGCCACUCCUCCCAAUUUCCCCUUUAUAUUAAAAGAAAAAAGCCAAGAAACAAAAAGUUCACCUCUUCUGCACCCCAGACAUUUUUUAACCCUGGUUUUCAAUCUUGAAUAUGCAACAGAACCCCCUGGCAGGUUUGUUAGCACACUAAUUGCUGGGCCCUACCCCUAAAGCAUCUACUUGGGUAGGUCUUGUAGGUCUAGUAUGGGGUGGGGCUAGAGGGGAGGGCCAGCAUUUCUAACUUGUUCCCAGGGAGUGCUGCCACCCACCUGGGAGCACCCUCUGAGAGCCAUUGACCCAGCUCCUUCCCCAUCCUGGACCUGCCUUUCCUCUGGCAUUGGGCACCCACCAUGUGCUCUGUGGCAGGCAUUUAAGAUGUUUAGGUUUGGUCCCUCCUGCGCUUUUGGUUAUUGGUUUCUCUAGACAUGAAUUCUUCCUGUUGAGUUUCUUUUGAGAUCUUUUUUCAGUUUUGAAAUCUAUUCUCCCUAAGUCAAGGAUGAAUGUCUAAAGCAAGUUUCUGCAAGUACAGUCCAAGGCCUCCAGCACUUGACUCUCCUGCUGUUCCUAUUCACAAUGUCAAGUCCUGGGCUGAUUCUAGAGCUACUGAACUGGUAGGUUGAGUAGGAGGUGGGCAGGGCUUUACGGUGAGCUCCACCCUACCCCUCCUGGGAAGGAGGCCUUUCCUUCAAGAUCUCUCUUAGCAGAGGAUUCUUGGCCAUGAAGAAAGAACAUGGUCACUUCCUCGCAAGCCUCCUGCCAUGUCUGUUUCAGGACGCAGUAGCUUAUGGGUCAGAAAUUCAUGGUAUUAUUUCCUUUCUUUCCGUUGCUUUCUGCUAAACACAGUUGCCAGCAAGAUGUCGUCAGAUGUGCAGUUUUCGGUGGAUUAGCAGAUGUCCGUGUACUGCAGAUGCCACCCCCAUCAUUCUUUGCGGCAUAUGUAUUUGGUGAUGUUAGAAAAGCAAACCCCCACAGCCACACCACCUGUACUUUUCUCUCUCAGUCCUUCUUCCCUCAAUGUACCCUCCCCCCACCAGCCACCUCCUCCUGCAGGCCCAGAGAUUCUGCCUCUGUCUCUUUGUGUGGCAACAGUGUGGUUUAUUGGCCAAGGCAAAGUAUUAUAUCAGUUUACUCAAAGAAUUGGCAAUUAAAGGGGGAGAAUUUAGAAUUUAUCCUGCCUUUCUCAUGCAAACUGUGCUUUAGGGGAACCCAACAGUCUUGAUGAAGGAAAGUUCUUUUUUUAGAGAACUAUUCCAGCUGAUAAAUGAGGACAAAAUGAUAGAUUUAAAAAACAACAUGUCAUAACCCCUCAUGAGAUAACUGAUUCAGGCAAAACUCAUCUGUGGAUGAAAUUGUCAGUUGGAAGGUUGAUGGUGGAACCUUACAAAAGAGGGGUUGGGGGGGGCGGAAUCAGGAUGGCGGCGUGAGUAGAGCAGUGGAAAUCUCCUCCCAAAAACACAUAGAGCUAUGAAAAUAUAACAAAGAAAAUUCUUCCUAAAAUAGAGA